UCAGAAAUGUAUGCUACAAGAAAAGUCAGAGAGGAAAUGGCUCCACAGCAACCGAGAGCAGAACCCAAGACUUUACCCAGAGAACCGAGCUUUCCAAGAACAACAACCUUGCCUAAAGCCUUGUCCAGCCAAAACCUGGCCCAGAUUGAAAGACCAUGGGAAAAUGUCACCCUCAACCGCUGUCUUUUUGUGGCCAUAACUAUCCUGG
This is a non-coding RNA of Labrus bergylta (ballan wrasse), 208 nucleotides long. The record is from RefSeq and is a predicted model, not a curated record. Lineage: Eukaryota; Metazoa; Chordata; Actinopteri; Labriformes; Labridae.